RNAcentral lists this unclassified non-coding RNA (234 nucleotides) under Glomus sp. RNAcentral describes it as "partial contains 5.8S ribosomal RNA and internal transcribed spacer 2". The stretch from base 1 to 65 matches the Rfam family "5.8S ribosomal RNA", at positions 84 to 154 of the family's 154-position model. The record is from RNAcentral. Lineage: Eukaryota; Fungi; Glomeromycota; Glomeromycetes; Glomerales; Glomeraceae.
GUGAAUCAUCGAAUCUUUGAACGCAAAUUGCACUCUCUUCGGAGAGUAUGCCUGUUUGAGGGUCAGCCUAAAAAAAAAAUCGACAUAGUCGCUGUUUCGCGGUGACAUUCGUCGGAAAUUGGUUCAUCUUAAACCUUUUUUUUUUAAUCUUCUUAAAAUUUUUUUUACGAUUCCACGAACGUUUCUAAGAUUUUCUUCUUAUACGUUUAAGGUAUCGAUCUUAAUUAAACGUGA